UCUUCGAUGCACAAACACUGGAUGCCAUAAGACAUCGAGCCAUAUGCUUUAACCUCUCGGCUCAUAUAGAAAGUUUAGGGAAGGGACACAGUGUUGUUUUUCAUAGUACUGUAAUAGCUAAGAGAAAGGAGGAAUCUGGGAAGAUAAAGCUUUUGCUUCAUUGGAUGCCCGAAGACAUUCUGCCAGAUGUAUGGGUGAAUGAAAGUGAGCGACAUCAGUUAAGAACUAAAGUAGUUCAUUUAUCAAAACUACCCAAAGACACUGCCUUGCUGCUGGACCCAAACAUCUACAGAACAAUGCCACAGAAGAGGUUGAAGAGGUAAAACAUUCAUAAAUACAUAAAAGCAAACAAGCGGGGAACCUGCAGUCUUAGUCACUGACAAUGGGUUAGGGAAAGUUGCACAUUACAGUCAACCCCGUCCUCUUUUACUUUUAAGCCCAGUAUUUAGAGUAAUAUUUAUGCCUAGUGUGGACCUUCUGUGACUGGAGUAGAUCCUGUGUGGAGCAUAUUAAUAUGCCUGUAGCCCACAUGGCUGUGGGACACUGCGCAGACACUUGCUGGCACCUCAGUGGAACAGCUUCUGAAAGGAAGGAAGGAAGGAAGGAAGGAAGGCUUUGCAUGCUCGCUGCCUAGGCUGCUGAUUUCUCCCCUAGUGACUGUAGCAGCAGUCGUAUUUGGAAAGACAAGCAAUUGCCCUUAAAUACCAAAGCACUGUGAGAUAACCAUCUUGACAGUGUGAGUUGAUUUGAAGUCCUAAGGGAAAAUAUUUAGACAGUGGAAAUUAUCAAGAGAUAAUUAACCUUUCAGUUAUGAUAAAUAGAUGUGAUUGGUUGCCAUUUGUGUUCUUUUGCAGAACUCUGAUAAGAAAAAUGUUCAAUUUGUAUUUAAGCAAACAGUGAACGACGUUUGCAAUCAACUAAAAAUUCGUCUAUCGAGUUAGGUCUGAGAAUUGCUAUAAAGAGUGUGGCCGUAUGUCUGAUGGCUCCCUUUUCAGGACUAGGGUCUCACGGGGCACAGUGUGUUAAUAUUUACCUAAAUAACUCUUGUCAAUGGUUUUUGAAAAAAACCUCGGUUUCAAAAUAUUUGAAUGAUCUCCAUAUUUUCAUUUAACCUCUGACUCUUUAAAUUUUUUUCCUGAGGAAAGUGUUUUGAGUUUUUUAACGUUAAAAAAAUUGUAUUUUUUUUAAAAUAUCUUCAAACUGAAUCUUUUAUGCACCAAAGUUGGUUUUGAAAAGGAAAAUAAAAUCACUUUCUUGCUUGGCAGGCAAGAAGCCAUAUGGAAUUUUUUUAACUUUUACAGAAAUGUGUAACUUGUCAGUACUGUAUCAAACAAAUGUUGCAUAGAGAUAAUAGAGCGUUGCUUGUAAAUAAUUCAGCAGAUUUGUAAUAUAUUUUUCUAUUAUGAAAUGUACUGUAGAUGUUUUCUAGAGGCAUGAAAGUCAAUGUAUAUAUUAUGGUAGAAAUAAUAUUGAAGGAAAUUGUAACUCACUAGUGCUGCCAGAGGGAUUGCUAACAAAGCACCUUUAACGAGAGAUGUCUGUGCAGACUGAAGGGACUGUGUACUACUGUUAAUGUCUAAGAACAAAGCAUUGGGCAUCAUUCCAGAAAGUCCAGGGAGGACCCUGACCUGUAAUAGUUUACGGCACCCCCUCUGACAGAGGCUGAGGCAGUCGUUCCUCACUGUUGGAGCAGCACUGUAGCAUGUGCUGUGCAGUCAGACUGCAGAAACCGCUCCUCACUUGGAGUUCUCGCUUCCUACAGUGUCAGGAAUACCAGCAGUUUUUACUCUAAGUUUUUAAAGAAUAGACAAUAUAAAAUUAAUCCUUUAGUUCCAAAAUGGGAAACGUUCCAUGAUGCAUAGAUCAUUUCUCAUUUGCUUAAAAAAUGAAAGACCACCCACAGGGUCUUAAAAGAAUGGGAGGCUGAAAUGGUGGGGGUUGAAGAGGUAGAUAAGGAGCAGUCCCAGAGCCUGAGGGAGCCUGAGGGACGAGGGACAGCACUGCAGGUGAGGCACUCUGGGACAGCCAUCUAAGAUGCUAAGAUGUAGAAAAUGGGGGUCUGUUUUCAGAGGAAAAGCAGUGUGCUUUACUAUUUCCUUUUGCUUAAGCACUUCAUCAUUUGUUUUAUUCUGUAUCUGCGAAGGACUCUGCAACUCCUUUGUUCCUUUAAAAUUUUGGUUUGUUAAAAUAUUGCCAAAUAGAGUGUUUGAGACAUAGUUUGUACCUGCAUUUUUAUUUUACUGUCUCAUGUUCUUGUACAUCAUUCCUAAUUGACCGAUGAUUGUAGACUUUGCUUGAGUAUUUUUUCUAAUAAAACAAAGCAAAUUACACUUAGCUUCAAAUUGUAACAAUUCAAUUUAACUUUAAGGUGACAUCUGGAAGUAUACAUUGAACAUUUUCUUUAGAUGCAUAGAGAACAAAUAAGUUACUAUUAUGUAUAGAAUUUUUGCUGUCAAAACCAUAAUGCUAGUUACUGACUAGCCUCUGAGUACGCAGGUAUUCACGGUCCCUUUGCUUCUGAUUGACUGGGCUUGACACUUGUUAGCACACCAAAAGGAGUGUGAGUAAGCUAGUUUUAUAACUUGUAUGUAUCCAUAUCCACAGGCACAUUCAAAGUGAUUGGAUAGUCAGGUAUGAAAUUGUAGUAGGUACCAUCUAUUAAUGUUUCUUCUCACCCAGCUCUGAUCUCCUGUGCCUGUCUCUCCAGGACAUUAAUGGCGGACCUGGUUUCUUGUUUUUCCCCCAAACAUGUCUGGUCCAGCACUGGACAGUGUGCAGCCCACAGGCACAGCUCUCAUUUUUUUUACCUGUCACCUUGUCUUUUCCCUGCAGUGGCCUCUUGAAGUAGUGAGACUUUAGGGGCCUGCGGCGUUCAGUGUCUGCUCUACGUGCACAUGCGUAUUUCUCUGUCUCUCGUGUAGCUGGUAUAAGUGUUGGAGCAGUAAACAGAGCACAUUGUUUGCCCUUAGUAUGGCAGUGAGCACGAGGCCAGUGUCCAAGGAGACUGACUGUCUCACACUCUGCGGGCAGCACCAGAGGCACGGAGCACGGCACACGGCGUUUAGGUGGAGCGCUCACGCUGGGUUUCUUAGUAUUGUUGAGGAUCUACCAUUUUACCACGCGUGCUUUGUCUUACAGGGACUGAAUGAGAAUCUGUAAGUCAGAUUCUGCAUUUCAACCACAAAUAACAUUUGUUCUAAGAGAUUCUUGAAGUAGUAAAUAUUGUAAAAAUUUAAAAUUCUUUAUUUUUCUAGUAAACCUUUUCGUACAUUAAUGUGGCUGCACAUUAAUUCUGAAUUUCAGAUGAAAAGAAAAUAAAGUGGACAAUACUUAACCCUCAAGUAUUUCCCCGUGUGUCUAAGUCAUUGACCAUAGAAAGCUGGGUGCGCUGACUAAAGCCGUGCGUUUGGGAGGACGAAACAAGAGGAUUGCCGAGAGUUGAAGCCCCGAGUAGCAUCCUGAGGCACACAAACCAAAAGAAGAAAUAAAUACUGAUAAUUAGGAUGUUUCUAAUGUCACACGUUAGUAAAGCAGGGACCAUGGAGGGGCUCAGCAGCUGAGUUCCUGGGACCCGAAGGUCUGAGGAGAGACCUGACCGGAGAUUUGUCUUCCCCACAAGUAAAUAUGCAAAUGAUCUUCACAAGGUAGAAUUCGCCAUAGUUAAAAACACGUGAGUUCUGUUGUUUGCAUUGAACUGUUUUCUUGAUGCAUGGUUGACUGAAUAUCAAAGUGGGCAAAUGUACGUGAAGCUGAGGCCAUGGUAUAUCCGGUCACAGCUUUAAUUUUUUUAUAGUUUUUGUAACACCCUUGUAUAAAGCCUAAAGGUAAACCAAAUUUUGGCCUAUGUGGGUUUCUAAUACAAAGUCUGACAUGUUGGUGUGUCUAACAAGGCCUCAGGUUACAGAGAUACAUAAACAAAUGUAGUUUAUUUAUAAAGAAAGAUUCAAACCAUAUAUUAUUUGGACGUCUUUUUUUUUAAAAAGCAGAGUGGCACUUUGAGGUUUUAAUUUAAGAUAUUUUUCUAUUCUAUUUCAUAAAAGGUUUAAAAUUUUGUGUAUAAAUAUUUUUUUUAAUUGUUCAAGAAUCUUAUGACCUGGUGUAGGGCAGUUUUGCAAUUUUAACACUAUAGCUUUAAUAUAAAUAACAUUUGUAGAGGUUUUCUUUGAAAUAAAGGUGAGACUAUUUUGUCAUUUUUAUUAUUUCCUUUAGAGCCUGAAUAGCCUUAAAAUAAUAGGCAUAAAAUGUUGUGUUCUGAUUUUUAUAUUGUUAAAAUUUAGAAAUAACGUACUUACCUUGAUUUCUUUCCCAAGUUAAGUUUGAACAGUGUCACAUAUAACUCUCUCUCUGCAAAAAGGGUGGAAGCAGGUUAGAGCAGGUUUUGUGUAGGUCUAUUAUGUCAACUAUACCAAAUUGCCUCUCAGCAUGAGCAAGAUGGUGAUAGAUGUGUUUAACCUCACUAUCUGUUCUCACUGUCUCACAGUCUGCCAGGAUCACACUCCACACAGAAUAAUGGAUGGAUGAAGUGUUUGCAAUGAGUGCUUGUUCACCAGGUGCUGUGGGGAAACUGCAGGGCAGAGGAGGACACUGUAGGGUUGAGAUACACAAGCGACACCUGCCCUUCAUACAGACGGAGUGAAGGGACCUGUGCUUGGAUGGAUAUCUAAACAUCCCCAUGCACAGGAUUCAAUAUUACGUUCAUUCCAUAAUUCAGUUGCAAUGUAAUUAUUUUGAUUUAUUUAAUCUCAUUAAAAAUAACUUGCUUUUGGUAGAACCCUCUAAGAAUAGUAAGACCAAUAAAAUUGCUGUGAAUGGCAUUUUCAGUAAUAUGUCCUGAGGACCUGCCUGGUCUGUGGUUUCUCCAGAAGGCUGUAGCCUUGCUGUCCUGUUAUGUUCCUCAUGGUUUACAUUCUUUGGCUGAAGAAAACAUGUUUUUAAAUUUUAUGAUUUUAUAAUGAUCUCUGUUUCUUGUAAAGAAAAAUUUCACAAAUUUAUAUUCUGAUGCCUGUGGUUCUUGUGUGUGCUUAAGAUGAUUACAUUUGGGGAGGGUCUCGAGUCACGGCUUGGGAUUUGUAUAGUUAGGGGAUAUGACCAUCGUAGAAAACGUAAAGGCUGGGCCCUUGGUGCUGUGCACUUGGAGAGGAACCCAGGAUCUUCAGCCAUCUUCCAGUGGCCUUCCCCAGCCCUGAGUCUUCUCUUGGUUUCCAGGUCCAAUACUGCCAGUUCAGCUGAGAACACCACUGGACGCGUUCAUAAAUGUCCUAAGGUCCUCUGUUGGGCUUCAUCAGAGAGCCUCAUUGAUGACCACUGGUGCAGGCAUGAUGGACGUCCACUUGUGUGGGCAUGUAAGUCUCAGUGAGUGGUUUGCAUCUCAGCAUACCUUCUCCAUCUUUUCAGUGGUCUGACUUCUGAACAAGAGGAUAUAGUUGGGACACAUAAUGGAGAAGUGCACUCGGUGUACAAGUGACUCUGCACUGAGUGAGGAUGGACUUGUAUCAUAAGUCAGAAAAUGCUGGAAACAAAGCACAGGAACAUAAACAUAAGUUCAGUGAGAACUAAUCUGUAGCCAGUGUGCUAGCUAUAGUUAGAACUGGGAGGAUGCUAUCAGAAACCUUGUCUUAAAAGGGUCACUAUACAGAGAAACAGGUCUCAUUGUGACAUGUUCCAUAUGUCUCCGUUGGUCCCUUCCUCCCCAACCCCACCUUCAUGAUGGGUCUCGUUUCCUUGUCAAAUGUAAUUUUAGUCAUCAGUUCAUUAAAAACAUUAUAAACAUCC
Molecule: long non-coding RNA, 5772 nt
Filed under: Rattus norvegicus (Norway rat)
Lineage: Eukaryota; Metazoa; Chordata; Mammalia; Rodentia; Muridae
Description: long non-coding RNA NONRATT021000
Source: RNAcentral